This 492-nucleotide ribosomal RNA is filed under the name uncultured bacterium. Its description in RNAcentral is "partial 16S ribosomal RNA". It matches the Rfam family "Bacterial small subunit ribosomal RNA", at positions 28 to 507 of the family's 1533-position model. The record is from RNAcentral.
GAUGAACGCUCGCUACAGGCUUAACACAUGCAAGUCGAGGGGAAACGACAUCGAAAGCUUGCUUUUGAUGGGCGUCGACCGGCGCACGGGUGAGUAACGCGUAUCCAACCUGCCCAUCACUUGGGAAUAACCUUGCGAAAGUAAGACUAAUACCCAAUGACAUCCCACGAAGACAUCUGAAUGGGAUUAAGGAUUUAUCGGUGAUGGAUGGGGAUGCGUCUGAUUAGCUUGUUGGCGGGGUAACGGCCCACCAAGGCAACGAUCAGUAGGGGUUCUGAGAGGAAGGUCCCCCACAUUGGAACUGAGACACGGUCCAAACUCCUACGGGAGGCAGCAGUGAGGAAUAUUGGUCAAUGGGCGAGAGCCUGAACCAGCCAAGUAGCGUGCAGGAUGACGGCCCUAUGGGUUGUAAACUGCUUUUAUAAGGGAAUAAAGUGGGUCUCGUGAGACUUUUUGCAUGUACCUUAUGAAUAAGGACCGGCUAAUUCCGUG